UAUCACACUUAGAAUAGGAGUCAAGAUGAUCACUGCUCUUGUGAUUUUUACUGCAUCAUUCAUCUGCCAUAUUGGAAGGUCUUCUGCAGCUAAAGAUGUUCACCAGACACCUACAGAUUUAAUCAAGGAUACACAGGAGUCUACCAAUCUUUCCUGUUCUCAUGCCAUACCUAGCCAUCAGGUUAUGCUGUGGUACAGACGAUCUGAAAACAAACAGUUACAGCUUCUUGGAUAUCUAAAUUCAAAGUUCCCAUAUCCUGAAGAUUCCCUGAAAGCCAAAAUCGAGUUGCAUGGAGAUGGAAACAAUGAAGGGAAACUUACCAUCAAAAAUCUGCAGCCAGAUGACAGUGCAGUUUAUUUCUGUGCAGUGAGAUUAGACACAGUGCUACAGGACUCUGUGAUCUAUGACAAAAACCUCCUCCUUCAGAGCAGCACAAAUCUUCCACAUGCUGUAUGCUUUCAAACUACAUGUUCAACAACCGCCAUUAAACUACAUUACAGACAUGACCUCUGAUUCUGUAAUUUGGUUCUUGACAUUUAUUUACAUUUAGACAACUGAAAUAAGG
Molecule: non-coding RNA, 566 nt
Organism: Ictalurus punctatus (channel catfish)
Lineage: Eukaryota; Metazoa; Chordata; Actinopteri; Siluriformes; Ictaluridae
Source: the annotation of a RefSeq genome assembly